This 1540-nucleotide ribosomal RNA is filed under the name Klebsiella aerogenes. Its description in RNAcentral is "bacterial SSU rRNA". It matches the Rfam family "Bacterial small subunit ribosomal RNA". RNAcentral also lists the same sequence under 1 other name. Lineage: Bacteria; Pseudomonadati; Pseudomonadota; Gammaproteobacteria; Enterobacterales; Enterobacteriaceae. The record is from RNAcentral.
AAAUUGAAGAGUUUGAUCAUGGCUCAGAUUGAACGCUGGCGGCAGGCCUAACACAUGCAAGUCGAGCGGUAACACAGAGAGCUUGCUCUCGGGUGACGAGCGGCGGACGGGUGAGUAAUGUCUGGGAAACUGCCUGAUGGAGGGGGAUAACUACUGGAAACGGUAGCUAAUACCGCAUAACGUCGCAAGACCAAAGUGGGGGACCUUCGGGCCUCAUGCCAUCAGAUGUGCCCAGAUGGGAUUAGCUAGUAGGUGGGGUAAUGGCUCACCUAGGCGACGAUCCCUAGCUGGUCUGAGAGGAUGACCAGCCACACUGGAACUGAGACACGGUCCAGACUCCUACGGGAGGCAGCAGUGGGGAAUAUUGCACAAUGGGCGCAAGCCUGAUGCAGCCAUGCCGCGUGUAUGAAGAAGGCCUUCGGGUUGUAAAGUACUUUCAGCGAGGAGGAAGGCAUUAAGGUUAAUAACCUUGGUGAUUGACGUUACUCGCAGAAGAAGCACCGGCUAACUCCGUGCCAGCAGCCGCGGUAAUACGGAGGGUGCAAGCGUUAAUCGGAAUUACUGGGCGUAAAGCGCACGCAGGCGGUCUGUCAAGUCGGAUGUGAAAUCCCCGGGCUCAACCUGGGAACUGCAUUCGAAACUGGCAGGCUAGAGUCUUGUAGAGGGGGGUAGAAUUCCAGGUGUAGCGGUGAAAUGCGUAGAGAUCUGGAGGAAUACCGGUGGCGAAGGCGGCCCCCUGGACAAAGACUGACGCUCAGGUGCGAAAGCGUGGGGAGCAAACAGGAUUAGAUACCCUGGUAGUCCACGCCGUAAACGAUGUCGACUUGGAGGUUGUGCCCUUGAGGCGUGGCUUCCGGAGCUAACGCGUUAAGUCGACCGCCUGGGGAGUACGGCCGCAAGGUUAAAACUCAAAUGAAUUGACGGGGGCCCGCACAAGCGGUGGAGCAUGUGGUUUAAUUCGAUGCAACGCGAAGAACCUUACCUACUCUUGACAUCCAGAGAACUUAGCAGAGAUGCUUUGGUGCCUUCGGGAACUCUGAGACAGGUGCUGCAUGGCUGUCGUCAGCUCGUGUUGUGAAAUGUUGGGUUAAGUCCCGCAACGAGCGCAACCCUUAUCCUUUGUUGCCAGCGAUUCGGUCGGGAACUCAAAGGAGACUGCCAGUGAUAAACUGGAGGAAGGUGGGGAUGACGUCAAGUCAUCAUGGCCCUUACGAGUAGGGCUACACACGUGCUACAAUGGCAUAUACAAAGAGAAGCGACCUCGCGAGAGCAAGCGGACCUCAUAAAGUAUGUCGUAGUCCGGAUUGGAGUCUGCAACUCGACUCCAUGAAGUCGGAAUCGCUAGUAAUCGUAGAUCAGAAUGCUACGGUGAAUACGUUCCCGGGCCUUGUACACACCGCCCGUCACACCAUGGGAGUGGGUUGCAAAAGAAGUAGGUAGCUUAACCUUCGGGAGGGCGCUUACCACUUUGUGAUUCAUGACUGGGGUGAAGUCGUAACAAGGUAACCGUAGGGGAACCUGCGGUUGGAUCACCUCCUUA